GACGAACGCUGGCGGCGUGCUUAACACAUGCAAGUCGAACGGAAAGGCCCUGCUUUUGUGGGGUGCUCGAGUGGCGAACGGGUGAGUAACACGUGAGUAACCUGCCCUUGACUUUGGGAUAACUUCAGGAAACUGGGGCUAAUACCGGAUAGGAGCUCCUGCUGCAUGGUGGGGGUUGGAAAGUUUCGGCGGUUGGGGAUGGACUCGCGGCUUAUCAGCUUGUUGGUGGGGUAGUGUCUUACCAAGGCUUUGACGGGUAGCCGGCCUGAGAGGGUGACCGGCCACACUGGGACUGAGAUGCGGCACAGCCUCAUCCGGUACGCAGCAGUGGGGAAUAUUGCACAAUGGGCGGAAGCCUGAUGCUACAACGCCGCGUGCGGGAUGACGGCCUUCGGGUUGUAAACCGCUUUCGCCUGUGACGAAGCGUGAGUGACGGUAAUUGGUAAAGAAGCACCGGCUAACUACGUG
Molecule: ribosomal RNA, 468 nt
Filed under: uncultured bacterium
Lineage: Bacteria
Description: partial 16S ribosomal RNA
Rfam family: Bacterial small subunit ribosomal RNA
Source: RNAcentral